UUUUAGACUUCCCAGGGAGCUUGAGGGACAAAUUGGUGAGGCCCCACCAGCAGCACCACUUUGUGGAUCCCUGGACAGAACCGCUAGUGAAGCAAAUACCUUUGAGGAAAGUGAAAGGGAAACAGGACGAGGAGAACCCUUUCCACCCCACCAGCAAGCUGUCCGUCACCGACUGCUCCCUAGUCAGACUGAGCUUGAGCGGUGAUGUGGUUUGCUGAUGCUUGGCAAAAUGCCCUUCCUGGUUGGGGCCCCCCUUCCCUGGUGGUCACAAGGGACUGGACUUUACCAGGGAGUGAGGUUAGACUCCAGCAUGACUGGAGGCUCCUUAUCUGGCCCCUACCGGGGAUCUUGGGGCAGCUCCGGGCUGCCCUCACCAUGUAACUGGCGACAGCAGUGACUCAGCUGGAAAGGAAGAAGGAGCUGGUGUCAUCAGCUGUUGUUAGGAAAGAAUGGAGGAGCCUGGGGGAAACUCUCCAGUCCUGAGAGGACGGGAGGCAUGAGUGAUCAGGGUAGAACAGACACUUAUGCCAAAGAAUUCCAGAGAAGCAGAUCCUGAUGAGAUGCCACAGUCCUCAGCAGGCUGUGAAGCAAGAAGAGCUGGGACAUGAACUAACCUGUCCUUGUCCUGGAAGGCAGCCAGAGCUGAGCUCACAUAUUGGUCACACAGAAGAUCAGCUGGCCUCCUGGAGUCUCAGGACACUGGACCAAAG
This is a long non-coding RNA of Mirounga angustirostris (Northern elephant seal), 710 nucleotides long. RefSeq lists it as uncharacterized. The transcript has 3 exons. The record is from RefSeq and is a predicted model, not a curated record. NCBI's taxonomy places the organism in Eukaryota, Metazoa, Chordata, Mammalia, Carnivora, Phocidae.